This 228-nucleotide unclassified non-coding RNA is filed under the name plant metagenome. RNAcentral's name for it is "partial contains small subunit ribosomal RNA, internal transcribed spacer 1, and 5.8S ribosomal RNA". The record is from RNAcentral.
UUUCCGUAGGUGAACCUGCGGAAGGAUCAUUACAGAGUUCAUGCCCUCCAAGGUAGACCUCCCACCCUUGAGUACUAUACUUUUGUUGCUUUGGCAGGCCCGUCAGGUCCACGCCUGGCUACCGGCUCCGGCUGGUAAGUGUCUGCCAGAGGACCUAAACUCUGAAUUUUACGUCGUCUGAGUACUAUAUAAUAGUUAAAACUCUCAACAACGGAUCUCUUGGUUCUG